GAUCACUUGGAUCCUGUCGCUCUGUCACAAUGGUGGCAGAGAGGAAAGUCCGGACAACACAGAGUACCGUACCAUUUGAAAAAGUGGGGCCCUGCGAAGGGAACAGAAAGUGUCACAGAAAAUAAACCGCCCUGGUGGUUUCCACUGGGGUAAGGGUGAAAUCGUGUGGUAAGAGCGCACGCCUUUUGUUGGUAACAGCAGAUGGAGACAAACCUUGCGGGUUGAAAUGCCAUGUACAUCCCGGCUUCCUUUGCGGAAUCGGAGUUACUCGUUCCUGUGAUCAGGCUUGCCUGGUCCGUCGGGAGGGGUGGGCAGAAUAGAUAAAUGAUGGGAGACCUGAGUAAUCAGGUCAACAGAAUCCGGCUUAUGAGAGAUGAUCCAAU
This 383-nucleotide RNase P RNA is filed under the name Bacteroidota bacterium. Its description in RNAcentral is "Bacteroidetes bacterium RNase P RNA component class A". It matches the Rfam family "Bacterial RNase P class A". Rfam says of the family: Ribonuclease P (RNase P) is a ubiquitous endoribonuclease, found in archaea, bacteria and eukarya as well as chloroplasts and mitochondria. Its best characterised activity is the generation of mature 5'-ends of tRNAs by cleaving the 5'-leader elements of precursor-tRNAs. Cellular RNase Ps are ribonucleoproteins. Lineage: Bacteria; Pseudomonadati; Bacteroidota. The record is from RNAcentral.